GGCUGGGUAGCUCAGUGGAUAGGGCGGCUGGGUUGCUCAGUGGAUUGAGAGCCAAGCCUAGAGGUGGGAGGUCCUAGGUUCGAAUCCAGCCUCAGCCA
Monodelphis domestica (gray short-tailed opossum) is the source of this 98-nucleotide non-coding RNA. The record is from Rfam. Lineage: Eukaryota; Metazoa; Chordata; Mammalia; Didelphimorphia; Didelphidae.